CAGAGCAGCCAUGCUUCACUGCGUUCUCUUCCCUCUUUAUGGUUAAGUGAACCUGCAAACAAUGACAAGGAAAUAUGCACUGAGUCACAUAUUCUAAGAAAUAGACUGUACUCUCCCCUAAUCGAAAUAACGGCACUUUAAUCUUGGAUUUUCCACAUUUUCCCCGGUAGAGCCCCCAUGUGCUUCCUCUGAACCUAUAUCAGCUCCUGCAGUUCUUCCAGGGGGGCCCUGCAGGACCAGGCACUGUAGCCCUUGAAGUAUUGAGACGAGCAGAGCAGGCGAAAGGUGGGAAAAUUGGAAAGAUCGAAUGUCCUUGGGAGUUCACGAAGGUUUGGCAGUGGGAGGACAAAAACAAAGUGAAGCAAAGAGGGAGUGUGGCCCAGACUUUCCCAGCAUCCCCAGGUGGGUUUCAAGUACUGCCUAAUGGGAAGAACCAGACGAGUCGGCUUUCCACCCUGGCUGCAAAAGCCGAUUUAUCUUACCCCAACUAUUGUUCCCAGCUAGAAGCAAAUCUACAAAGUUACAGUUUAUAGAAAGAAUUCUUUGGAAGGAAAACUACUUUGCUAUCUACACAUCUAGAUCCCACAUAUUGGACAGUACAGACCUUUGCCUCAGUCUCAAAUGUACAAGCUAUGAAACAUCCUCAGUGUGAAAUCCUAUUUAUUCUAAAGUAAAAGUAAAAUUUAACAUCUUUUCUGGAUGUUGGUGAACAAUGGGAAAAUCCUGCUUGGAACACAGCAGAAGAUGCCAUAAACUGUAAGAUGAAACCAAAAAUCAGUCAUGUUCAUCAAAGCCUGUUCACAACAUUUAGACAAGAGACUGGCUCUGUGCACAUGUUUAUGAAGAUGUUGGUAAUGACAGCCACUGAAGUCUCUCCUGGGCCUCCACAUUGAGGAAAGAAAGCUUCCCAGCUUCCUUGGUGGGCAAAGCUCUCACCAUUUCAGGAACUCUCUGGAUAAGAGAUCCAGCUGAAUGCAAAUUAAACUUACAGCCAUAGAGAGUACACGGGCCAGGAAGAGUCUCUGUGACAAUUGUGUGGAAAAGUGUCAAAGCAAAUUGACUAUAGCAACCUUCACUUCAAGCAACAACAAAAUAGGAAACAUUGGGAAAUGAUGGAAAGAGGAUUUCCAAAGUUACCACAAUAAUAAAAUGUCAGUUUUCAAAAGUCCUACAAAAAUUGCAAACCAGGAGUGUGGCCCAUGUAAAAAAUAAAAUGACUGACAGAAAUCAAGCUGAGGAAUCCUAGGUAAUGGAUUUACUGGGCUAAGACUUUAAAAACAUUACCCAAAGUUUGCUAAAAUAGAUAAGGAAAAUACUAAGACUACUAUAUAUUAAAUUUGCUAAAAUAGAUAAGGGAAAAUAAAGAUGAAGAACUAAAGGAAAUUUGGACCAUGAAAUAUAAUCAAAAUAAGAAUAUCAUCAAACAAGUAGAAAUUAUUUUUAAAAACAUAACAUUCUGGAUCCAAAAAAUAGAAAAACUACAAUGAAAAAUUCAUUAGUAGGGCUAAAUAACAGUUUUGCAGGAAAUUAAUGAACCUGAAGGUAGGACAGUUGAUAUAAUUGAGUCUAAAGAAUAUAAAAGAAAACAGUGAACAAUAUUUAGAUAUUUAUGGGGCAACAUCAGUAGACCACAAAACAUAUUAUAAGAAUAACAGGAAGAGAAAAAGAAGGAAAGAAGGAAAGAAGGAAAGAAAGAAAGAAAGAAAGAAAGAAAGAAAGAAAGAAAGAAAGAAGGAAGGAAAGAGAAAAGGAAGAAAGAAAGAAAGUGAAAGAGCAUUCAAAUACUUCUCAAAUAUGAAAAGGACAUGAAUCUACAGAUCAGAUAAACUCAGCAAUUCAUAUACACCCAAAAAGUCCCAGAUCAAGACACAUUAAAAAAGCAAAUUGUCAUUAGUGUUAAUCCCCCUCAAAACAUUUUCCUCUCUUAAAUGUGUGGGGGGGGCCUGGAAGUCCUCCUUUGUGAGUAUCCUUACAAGGUGUGGUCAAAUAUAUGAUGAAUGGAUUUGCUAAGUUCUUUCCAUAAAAAGGCAGCCUUGUAAAAAUAUUGCAGCCUGUCCUUACUCACCAGGUCUGGCACUGUGUGACUUGUGGCUCUUUCCCAAAGUCAAAAGGACUAUGCGAGGGAGACAUUUUGAAGUGAUUCAAGGUGUUCAGGCACCGGUACAGUGUAACUACAGGGACAAAUGGGAACUCCCAGAACUGCAUCAGAAAAUGACAAUGAUGACAGGAUAAGUGUUUUAAAAGUCGGGGUCACAUUCUGAGGAGGAUUACUGGAAAUGUGCCUUUUACUGUAAUAAUUUUAAAAAUUAACAUUCGUUUCAUUUUCUCAUCAUGUUGUGAAUGCCAUUUACUUUGAGUUUGUAUUAACCCAAAUCAGUUAAGACUUCCGUAUGUUGUAUGUGAUUUCCAUAGCAGAAAAUACAGCAUCUAUAAAAUAUGCACAAAUGGAAAGGAAGAGAGAAUCAAACAUGUGACUACAAAAACUCACUAAAGACAAGAAGGCUAUUCUGGGGGAAAUUAGAGAGAGAAAAGCUAAAAGACAGAAAACAACAGAGUCCUUUUUCAUUAGCACGAAUUUAACUUGAAUGGAUUAAUACACCCAGUCAGAAGCCAUCAGAUGACAGAUGACAGAACAGGUAAAAACACUACCCAAUUAUCUGCCCUUGUCAAGUAGUUUUAGAUGUGAGGCACAAAUAAUCUGAAAAGAAAAAAAUAUUUCCCAUAAAGAAUAAUCAAAAAAAAUCUUAGUACCUACACUAAUACCAGAAAGAGAGACUUUGAUUCAAAUCCUGUGAUAAGAGACAAAACACAAUAUCAUGGAUGAUAAAAACUCAAUUCACCAAGAAAACACAGCAGCUACCAACAGCUACCACAGACAUAAGUAUCAAAGGGCCGACAUAUAUGUGGCAUCACAGUGAAUUUAAAGGGACAAACAAACAAGGCCACAGUGAUUGAGGCUCCAACAUUCCCAAUCUCAGUAACAGGAAGCAGAAUAAAGUAGAACACAGUGUGAGUUUAGAGAUUUGGACCCCACCGUGUCACUAGUGUAAAAUGAUGCACAUGUAUCACUCCAUGCAGUGAUUUCACACUUCUGUCAAGUAGGACUUUCUCUCGUAUGAACCACGAGGUCAUUCACAAAUAAUUCAGGUGUUGAAUCACUGAAAUAAAAAAAGGUAUAUUUUAUGGUUAUGGAAAACAGAAAAUAGCUAGAACUGUAAAUAAAAAGAUCCUUAAAAAUUUCAAGUAUAUGAAAAUUAAAUGAGCCACAUUUAAAUAAUAAAUUUCUCAAAGGACAGAAAUUUAGAAAUACUUAUGCAAAUGCAAACAGAGCAUGCCAGACCAGGGAAGCAGCAGAAACAGUGGUGACAGGGACAUUUCCAUGGCUGGGACAUCUCUACCUGCAGAGACACAUGCUGCAAAAGGAAACAUUCUCAAAUUGGUAUCGUACUCUAGAACUUCAGGAGACAGGAAAAAGAUAACAUAAGCCAGGAAAAAAAAAUUCAAUACUCCUUACUGAUGUAGAAAAAUUUGACAAAAUCCAACACUACUAAUUAAAACACUUACAAGCAAUGAACAGAAGGACAAUUCCUCAACGCGCACUUCAAAAUGUGCACAUUACAUCAUAUAAAAGGUGGAAAACUUCGACCUGACAUCAUAAACACCGCACGCCUGAUAUUACCACUUCCACGCAGUACCUGGAUGGAAGUUCUGACCAGAGCCAGGGACAGGAGAAGGAAGCAAGGGAACCCAAGCUGGGCCGGAGGAAUUAAAGUUAUCUCUGCUCAUAAAUAGCAUGAGUUUGUAAGAGAAAGCCUGUAGAGAUUUCACAGAAAGCACUGUUGGAAUUUAAUGAACAAAUUUCAUCAAAUGGCUAGAAUGCUAUAUAAAUGAACCUUAAAAUUUUUCAAAUAUAUGGAAAUUAAAUGAAACGCAUUUAAACAAUUCCAUGCAUCAUCUUGCAGGCUGCCUUGGGUCCAGGGUAGGGGAGCACACUGUGCAGGGCUCGGAGGUUCCUGGGCGCCUCCCGUGCUCAGUGCAGGUGACGCUUCUGGUGGGGGGCAGAUGGUGGGCGCCUCCAGUUCAGCUCCUGUCCAGAGUCAGGUCUGUGCGAAGAGACAGCCACUGGAGAUGCUCUGCAUGGGUGCCUCUGCCCCCCUGUUCCUCCCUUCAUGCUCUGCUUCCUGGUUGCACCCCACCAGGCCCAUCCACCGUGAACUUCUGUCUUGGAGUCAGUGAUGGUGGACUCCAAACAGGAGCAAAAAUAAUCCUCUCCUUAGCAAUGAAGGAAUAACAAAGACACAGCUCAUGUCACAGCCACUAGGGAGAAAGGGAGAGGGAAAGAUCUCUGCCACACAGCCCCUCUGAGGGGCUGUGCCCACUCACUUAAAAUUCCCCAGUGGGCUCCACGCUUAAUGUGUGAACGAUUUAAAACAACAGUGAUAUACCUCUCCACACCUGCUUACGAUGAAGACAUGAUUCUUGAAACAAUCUACAUGAAAAACAUGUACAAUGGCUUAGCCACUUUUUAAAAAGUUGCCUUCCUUCCCUAGGUAUCUGAGAGAAAUACAACCAGAGACUUGUAGGGAGAUAUUUUCAUUUAUGGCAUUAUUACUGAUAACAGCCACAUAUUGAAAACAAUGCACACACACCUUCACUGUUGAGAAACAGAAAAAUGCGGUAUAUCCUUAUAAUAAUGGAAUCCUACUCAGCAAUAAAAACCACAAGGUAUUGAUAAAUCACGAAUCCUAAAUGAGCCUCAGAAACAUCAUACUCAAGGAGCCAAGUGAGUGACCAUAUUUUGUGUGUUCCUCUUUAUAUAGAAAGCUCAGGGAUGGUGUAGUAUAAAUCAAUCAUAUAAGCAGAAAGUAAGUUAGCUAUGGCUUUGAGCUGGUGAUGGACAGGGAUUCCCUGCUAAAGGGAAGGAGGUAUCUUCACAAAGACUGGGACGUUCAAAACCAGGUUGUGGUAAUGACUACGCAACUCUAUAAAUUUAUUACAGAAAAGAAAAAAUGCACACACAUUUAGAAAUCCCCAAAAGUUCAUUUUCCUUAUCUCUCUCUCUCUCACUAAAUAAAAUUUUGUCAUCGUG
Molecule: long non-coding RNA, 5089 nt
Organism: Cavia porcellus (domestic guinea pig)
Lineage: Eukaryota; Metazoa; Chordata; Mammalia; Rodentia; Caviidae
Exons: 3
Source: RefSeq, a predicted model, not a curated record